RNAcentral lists this ribosomal RNA (285 nucleotides) under Clostridioides difficile. RNAcentral describes it as "partial 23S ribosomal RNA". It matches the Rfam family "Bacterial large subunit ribosomal RNA", at positions 2535 to 2819 of the family's 2925-position model. The record is from RNAcentral. Lineage: Bacteria; Bacillati; Bacillota; Clostridia; Peptostreptococcales; Peptostreptococcaceae.
GCUCAUCCCGGCCUGGGGCUGUAGUAGGUCCAAAGGGUUGGGCUGUUCGCCCAUUAAAGGGGGACGCGAGCUGGGUUCAGAACGUCGUGGGACAGUUCGGUCCCUAUCCGUCGCAGGCGUAGGAAAUUUGAGACGACCUGUCCUUAGUACGAGAGGACCGGGAUGGACGUACCUCUGGUGUACCAGGUGUCCUGCCAAGGGCAUGGCUGGGUAGCUAUGUACGGAAUGGAUAAGCGCUGAAAGCAUCUAAGCGCGAAGCCAACUUCAAGAUAAGAUUUCCCACCG